Molecule: ribosomal RNA, 797 nt
Filed under: uncultured bacterium
Lineage: Bacteria
Description: bacterial SSU rRNA
Rfam family: Bacterial small subunit ribosomal RNA
Source: RNAcentral
CGGGAGGAACACCAGUGGCGAAGGCGGCCUACUGGGCACUAACUGACGCUGAGGCUCGAAAGCAUGGGUAGCAAACAGGAUUAGAUACCCUGGUAGUCCAUGCCGUAAACGAUGAUUACUAGGUGUGGGGAGAUUGACCCUCUCCGUGCCGCAGUUAACACAAUAAGUAAUCCACCUGGGGAGCACGACCGCAAGGUUGAAACUCAAAGGAAUUGACGGGGGCCCACACAAGCAGUGGAGUAUGUGGUUUAAUUCGAAGCAACGCGAAGAACCUUACCAGGUCUUGACAUCCAACGACCGCCUAAGAGAUUAGGUUUUCCUUCGGGACGUUGAGACAGGUGGUGCAUGGUUGUCGUCAGCUCGUGUCGUGAGAUGUUGGGUUAAGUCCCGCAACGAGCGCAACCCUUAUCGUCAGUUACUACGCAAGAGGACUCUGGCGAGACUGCCGUUGACAAAACGGAGGAAGGUGGGGAUGACGUCAAAUCAUCAUGCCCUUUAUGACCUGGGCUACACACGUACUACAAUGGCUGCAAACAAAGAGAAGCGAAGCCGCGAGGCAGAGCAAACCUCAUAAACGCAGUCUCAGUUCGGAUUGCAGGCUGCAACCCGCCUGCAUGAAGCCGGAAUUGCUAGUAAUCGCGGAUCAGCAUGCCGCGGUGAAUACGUUCCCGGGCCUUGUACACACCGCCCGUCACACCAUGAGAGCCGGGGGGACCCGAAGUCGGUAGUCUAACCGCAAGGAGGACGCCGCCGAAGGUAAAACUGGUGAUUGGGGUGAAGUCGUAACAAGGUAACCA